Pogona vitticeps (central bearded dragon) is the source of this 1685-nucleotide long non-coding RNA. Lineage: Eukaryota; Metazoa; Chordata; Lepidosauria; Squamata; Agamidae. The record is from Ensembl.
UCAAAGUGUACCUGCCAGGGGGUUGCCUAAAUUUCUCUUGAAAGCUUCCAGGGUUGGAGAGUUCACUACCUCUCAAGGUUAUGGGUUCCCUUGUCGUACUGUUCUAACCAUCAGGAAGUUUUUUUUCCUUCCUGAUUUUCAACCCAAAUCUGGCCUCCUGUAACUUGAGAAGCAACAUCCCAGACUGAAAAUGGUUUGUUUCAUUCUGAACAAUCAGUAUGGCGUGUGCAUCUAGAGGAUCUUUACAACUCAUACAAUUUGUGUGAAUAAACUUGAUAAGAAAUGGUGUGUGUGUGAAUCUUUUCUUCUUCUUCUUCUUCUUCUUCUUCUUCUUCUUCUUCUUCUUCUUCUUCUUCUUCCUCUUCCUCCCAGGAUAUAAAUCAAAUAAAUAAAUAAAUAAAUAAAAUAGAUAAAGACAGAUGGCUUCCUGUCUGAUCUAGAGGAAGAACAUUUACUGAAGGGAGCACAUCUCUGUGUAUCUCGCUCUGUGCCCCAUCGUUUGGCUCAGGCGGGUGAGAAAACUACCCUCCCCAGAAUCAUGACAGGAAAUGAUGCAGUAUGCUUGAUCAAGAAGGCUGUCGUUCCCGGCUCAGAGGCAGACGUCCAGCGCAUUUUGCCUGUGAAGUCUCUUGGCAGGCAGCUGCCUCUCCUGAGCCGUAAAGAAGGACACUGUGAUUCCAUCUGAAUGUCAGCCAUGAAAGUCCUUUACUGCCUUUCUGUUGUGAUCUUCUUACUUCAGGCUGUUCAAGGUGAGUGCAGGUCAGAUAUAAACACAUAUGCAGAGGACUUCCACUGCUUUUUUUGAGAAUGAUACUGGAUGUUGACUUACUACGAGUCAAAAACCUGUCCCACACAUUUGAGAGCUCAUGGGAUUAUAAAUCUGGGGCUUGGCAUGACAUUGAUAUGAGCAGACACACAACUGAAGGAGUGUGAACUAUGUAAACAGAGCCAUCAAAUGCAUGGGGAGGCUGAACCAAGAUGCUGUCCUCCACUUUAUUCGAACCAUUUGUUGGGUGGACUGCUGGGAGGUCAAAGUUAAGGCAGUGCAGGUGGUGAACCGGUCACCACCAUAGUGACAUUUCCCCAGGCUAGACCACUGCCCUGAAGAUUCCUCAUAAUUAUCUGCCCCUAUUCAUCCCUAGACGUUUGUUCCUCUUCUAACAUAUGUUUGCAAGGAGAGGAUCUCAGGGUUUGGGAUGCUCCAGCCGGAAAGGGUGAUGGUCAGUAUCCCAGCUUUAUUCUACUGUCACUGCAUAACAACUCCAUUCACCAGUUACACCUGAGGAAGGAGGCUUGUGUCAUGCAAUGUUGUUACGUUGCUGUCAAGACACUUUCAAAUUAAUGGUGAUCCUGGUAGGGUUUUUGAAGUAUGAGACUCUCAAGGGUUGGUUUCCUACUGCCACUCACCCAAGAGAGGUUCCGUAACUGGGCAAGGAUUUGAAGCUUAGUUUCCUGAGCCUUUUGUCCGACACUCUGCCCACACCGGCAGGAUUGCUCUCAUUCAAAUAUUACUCCUUGACUUUGGUUCUCCACUCUAAAUGUUCUUCUGCAUCAGGGUUGACAACCUCUUGAGAUCCAGGGGCAGCACAUGGUACCCUGUCUCACAAAUGGGUUUUCUUUUUUAAAAAAAACUGUGGGGGCUUUUUAAGCUCUCUAGUGGCCCAACAUUUGCUUUUAAAUUAAUU